This 228-nucleotide ribosomal RNA is filed under the name uncultured bacterium. RNAcentral describes it as "partial 16S ribosomal RNA". It matches the Rfam family "Bacterial small subunit ribosomal RNA", at positions 568 to 795 of the family's 1533-position model. The record is from RNAcentral.
UGCGUAGGCGGAAUAUUAAGUCAGUGGUGAAAUCCUGCAGCUUAACUGUAGAACCGCCAUUGAUACUGGUAUUCUUGAAUUUAGUUGAGGUGGGCGGAACGUGUAAUGUAGCGGUGAAAUGCUUAGAUAUUACACAGAACACCGAUUGCGAAGGCAGCUCACUAAACUAACAUUGACGCUGAGGCACGAAAGCGUGGGUAGCGAACAGGAUUAGAUACCCUGGUAGUC